RNAcentral lists this transfer RNA (68 nucleotides) under Abraximorpha esta. RNAcentral describes it as "tRNA-Met". The record is from RNAcentral. Lineage: Eukaryota; Metazoa; Arthropoda; Insecta; Lepidoptera; Hesperiidae.
UUAAAAAUAAGCUAAAUUAAGCUUUUGGGUUCAUAACCCAAAUAUAAAAAAUAAUUCUUUUUUUUGAA